GUGAAUCAUCAAAUUUUUGAACGCAAAUUGCACUCUCUGGUAUUCCGGAGAGUAUGCCUGUUUGAGGGUCAGUUGAAAUAAAAAUAGGUGUGGUUGCUGUCUGUAGUGGUGACGCACUGGAUUUGGGUCGUGUUGCCUUCGGUUAAGUGACAUAAUAUUUUGCAUGAUUUUUUCGAAAGUAUUUAAUUGAUUUUACGUACGUCUGCGAUAUCGAAUACUAGGUGUGGUCAUCCUCAUGAUUAGCACCUAUA
Molecule: unclassified non-coding RNA, 251 nt
Filed under: Glomus sp.
Lineage: Eukaryota; Fungi; Glomeromycota; Glomeromycetes; Glomerales; Glomeraceae
Description: partial contains 5.8S ribosomal RNA and internal transcribed spacer 2
Rfam family: 5.8S ribosomal RNA (bases 1-71)
Source: RNAcentral